Steinernema glaseri is the source of this 86-nucleotide non-coding RNA. Lineage: Eukaryota; Metazoa; Nematoda; Chromadorea; Rhabditida; Steinernematidae. The record is from Rfam.
CGGCGGCGGCUACUAAGAGAGCCAUCUGUUGACAGUUAGUGGCCAUUGUCUACUGUCAUGGAAUUGCUCUCUUAAGGAGACGUCGC